ACGGGGGAGGCAAGCGUUAUCCGGAAUUAUUGGGCGUAAAGCGUCCGCAGGUGGUCAGCCAAGUCUGCCGUCAAAUCAGGUUGCUUAACGACCUAAAGGCGGUGGAAACUGGCAGACUAGAGAGCAGUAGGGGUAGCAGGAAUUCCCAGUGUAGCGGUGAAAUGCGUAGAGAUUGGGAAGAACAUCGGUGGCGAAAGCGUGCUACUGGGCUGUAUCUGACACUCAGGGACGAAAGCUAGGGGAGCGAAAGGGAUUAGAUACCCCUGUAGUCCUAGCCGUAAACGAUGGAUACUAGGCGUGGCUUGUAUCGACCCGAGCCGUGCCGAAGCUAACGCGUUAAGUAUCCCGCCUGGGGAGUACGCACGCAAGUGUG
This 373-nucleotide ribosomal RNA is filed under the name uncultured bacterium. RNAcentral describes it as "bacterial SSU rRNA". It matches the Rfam family "Bacterial small subunit ribosomal RNA", at positions 525 to 896 of the family's 1533-position model. The record is from RNAcentral.